Molecule: long non-coding RNA, 571 nt
Organism: Cygnus atratus (black swan)
Lineage: Eukaryota; Metazoa; Chordata; Aves; Anseriformes; Anatidae
Exons: 3
Source: RefSeq, a predicted model, not a curated record
CGAGGCAAUUUGUUCUCAUCAAAGUUACUGGAGAUUUUCAUGCUGAUGAGCCAAACUGCAACCAUUUUAUAAUUAAUAUACAGACGAUGGGUCUAACUGUGGUUGCAAAGAUCCUACACCUCAACGUGGGCUCAUUGCUGACCUCAGACAAACUGCAUCUCUGUUCCAGCACUUCACCGGCCAAAAGCUGGAGAGCUGAUGUUUGGGCCUGAAAGGAGGAGUAUAGCCUUCCUCCUGCCUAUUCCUCUGCAAGGAUGGUGUGAAAAGGCCUGUCCCACUUCCAGGCGAGGAUGAGAGACAUGGAAAAAGCAGAAGGAAAAUUGACAUCUGCCCACAGAAAGCAAGCUCUGUCUGCAUGACCAUCUCUCCCUGAAGGUUCUCUCAGAAAGGAUGGCAGUGUGGGAUCAGCUGGAAGCCAUCACAGAAAUUCACCGAACCAGAUCACCUCUGCGUCUUUUCCUUACCUUUCUCAGAAAAUUUUCCCCCUUUGGGGGGUUCUGCACCAUCAGGGAUACACAAUACUUUGUUUGUGUGAGAUCCUCAGCCUAGAUUGCUAGCAGUUUUUAGCUAC